GGAGGGCAAGUCUGGUGCCAGCAGCCGCGGUAAUUCCAGCUCCAAUAGCGUAUAUUAAAGUUGUUGCAGUUAAAAAGCUCGUAGUUGAACCUUGGGCCUGGCUGGCCGGUCCGCCUCACCGCGUGCACUGGUUCGGCCGGGCCUUUCCCUCUGGGGAACCCUAUGGUCUUCACUGAUCGUAGCGGGGAACCAGGACUUUUACUGUGAAAAAAUUAGAGUGUUCAAAGCAGGCCUAUGCUCGAAUACAUUAGCAUGGAAUAAUAAAAUAGGACGUGUGGUUCUAUUUUGUUGGUUUCUAGGACCGCCGUAAUGAUUAAUAGGGACAGUCGGGGGCAUCAGUAUUCAAUUGUCAGAGGUGAAAUUCUUGGAUUUAUUGAAGACUAACUACUGCGAAAGCAUUUGCCAAGGAUGUUUUCAUUAAUCAGGAACGAAAGUUAGGGGAUCGAAGACGAUCAGAUACCGUCGUAGUCUUAACCAUAAACUAUGCCGACUAGGGAUCGGACGGUGUUAUUUUUGACCCGUUCGGCACCUUACGGGAAAC
RNAcentral lists this ribosomal RNA (541 nucleotides) under uncultured Pestalotiopsis. RNAcentral's name for it is "SSU rRNA". It matches the Rfam family "Eukaryotic small subunit ribosomal RNA", at positions 550 to 1098 of the family's 1831-position model. The record is from RNAcentral. Lineage: Eukaryota; Fungi; Ascomycota; Sordariomycetes; Amphisphaeriales; Amphisphaeriaceae.